Molecule: ribosomal RNA, 450 nt
Filed under: uncultured bacterium
Lineage: Bacteria
Description: partial 16S ribosomal RNA
Rfam family: Bacterial small subunit ribosomal RNA
Source: RNAcentral
GUGGGGAAUAUUGGACAAUGUGCGAAAGCCUGAUCCAGCCAUGCCGCGUGUGUGAAGAAGGUCUUCGGAUUGUAAAGCACUUUAAGUUGGGAGGAAGGGCAGUAAGUUAAUACCUUGCUGUUUUGACGUUACCGACAGAAUAAGCACCGGCUAACUUCGUGCCAGCAGCCGCGGUAAUACGAAGGGUGCAAGCGUUACUCGGAAUUACUGGGCGUAAAGCGCGCGUAGGUGGUUUUGUAAGUUGGAGGUGAAAUCCCCGGGCUCAACCUGGGAACUGCCUCCAAAACUGCAUGACUAGAGUACGGUAGAGGGUAGUGGAAUUUCCUGUGUAGCGGUGAAAUGCGUAGAUAUAGGAAGGAACACCAGUGGCGAAGGCGACUACCUGGACUGAUACUGACACUGAGGUGCGAAAGCGUGGGGAGCAAACAGGAUUAGAAACCCGUGUAGUCC